RNAcentral lists this ribosomal RNA (440 nucleotides) under uncultured bacterium. Its description in RNAcentral is "bacterial SSU rRNA". It matches the Rfam family "Bacterial small subunit ribosomal RNA", at positions 338 to 795 of the family's 1533-position model. The record is from RNAcentral.
CCUACGGGGUGCACCAGUGGGGAAUAUUGGACAAUGGGCGAAAGCCUGAUCCAGCAAUGCCGCGUGUGUGAAGAAGGUCUUCGGAUUGUAAAGCACUUUCGACGGGGACGAUGAUGACGGUACCCGUAGAAGAAGCCCCGGCUAACUUCGUGCCAGCAGCCGCGGUAAUACGAAGGGGGCUAGCGUUGUUCGGAAUUACUGGGCGUAAAGCGCGCGUAGGCGGAUAGAUAAGUCAGAGGUGAAAUCCCCGGGCUUAACCUGGGAACUGCAUUUGAGACGCAUAGACUAGAGGUCGAGAGAGGGUUGUGGAAUUCCCAGUGUAGAGGUGAAAUUCGUAGAUAUUGGGAAGAACACCGGUGGCGAAGGCGGCAACCUGGCUCGAUACUGACGCUGAGGCGCGAAAGCGUGGGGAGCAAACAGGAUUAGAUACCCUCGUAGUC